GACGAACGCUGGCGGCGUGCUUAACACAUGCAAGUCGAACGGAAAGGCCCUGCUUGCAGGGUGCUCGAGUGGCGAACGGGUGAGUAACACGUGGGUGAUCUGCCCCUUAUUUUGGGAUAAGCCUGGGAAACUGGGUCUAAUACUGGAUAGGACCAUGCUGUAGGUGGUGUGGUGGAAAGAUUAGUUUCGGUAAGGGAUGAGCUCGCGGCCUAUCAGCUUGUUGGUGGGGUAAUGGCCUACCAAGGCGUCGACGGGUAGCCGGCCUGAGAGGGUGGACGGCCACAUUGGGACUGCGAUACGGCCCAGACUCCUACGGGAGGCAGCAGUGGGGAAUAUUGCACAAUGGGCGCAAGCCUGAUGCAGCGACGCCGCGUGGGGGAUGACGGCCUUCGGGUUGUAAACUCCUUUCAGCCAUGACGAAGCCCUUGUGGUGACGGUAGUGGUAGAAGAAGCACCGGCUAACUACGUG
RNAcentral lists this ribosomal RNA (469 nucleotides) under uncultured bacterium. Its description in RNAcentral is "partial 16S ribosomal RNA". It matches the Rfam family "Bacterial small subunit ribosomal RNA", at positions 28 to 507 of the family's 1533-position model. The record is from RNAcentral.